This 1090-nucleotide long non-coding RNA is filed under the name Homo sapiens (human). RNAcentral describes it as "HSALNT0252292". Lineage: Eukaryota; Metazoa; Chordata; Mammalia; Primates; Hominidae. The record is from RNAcentral.
GCUCAUCCCACUUCUGUGCUGUGAGUGGCAUAAUCUCUUAUUUCCUUUUUCAAUCAAGAAACCCUGACAUUUCCAACCACCACACAUGGGGUAAAUACGGUAGCACGGACCAAAACCGAAGGAUAUUUUCAAGCAAGCCAGUCUCUCAUGAACUUUUCAAGGCUCAGCUCGUAACCUUAGUUCCAGACGUAUACCUCUGACUGUUUCCAACAUGUUCCUGUUUUGUUUGUUUGGGUUUACUUGCCUUCGUUCUGCAGGAAGCCCUCACAGAUAUGACAGGGUGAUUUAAUUCUGCACAAACCUCGCCUCCCUCAGUUCUUAGAAUGAAGAUAGAUACCACUACCGGUAUUCUUAGAGUUAGACUUACACAGCCUCCCACACCAAACAGAGUGAAGCAGAACCCACAUUUCACUGGAAUCCUUACUUUUAGGUAUUUGCAGGUUUUUCUUUAUGACACAGGAAACCAAAUAUGAGGUACCAUUGCAGAUAGUAAUAAAUGGGCUUCUAAAAUGUUCCCAGUGGCUGGCAGAACAAUAACUGAUUUAUAUCCCAAAAGGGGCAAUACAUCUGACCCCUUACACUUUGUAAAGGAAAGGAAGAUUCUAGACACUCUUUUGUCAGGUGUUCAAAUUUAUUCAGGACAACAGAUUGUCAAAGCCAUCUUUGAAGGGACUGGCAAAAGUUUCUCCCUACACUCCCGCGUAUAAGACAGUCAAGAGCCAAAAAUGAUAGAGUUGGCAGUGGGCCAUGGGAUGGGAAAACAAAUCAAGCUCCAAAUUGAGCUUUGAAUGAAGGGGUCCAUUCCUAUGGAGCUAAUGAAUCCGCUGCAUCCUCAGCUCCAGCAGGCACGGGAUGUUUGAAACAAGCCAGGCAUAACCUGCACCAAAUGGGCAAUGUGCAGGCAGCAUUACGGAGCAGAAGUCAAGUGACAGGCUGGGGGGUCCACGGUCUUGAUGAUUUCUGCUCCUGCUGCUACGCUGAUAGCCAGUUUACUGACGUACACAUAGAGACCACUCUUAACCGCAGGCUGAAUUGUCCCUACCAAGCUAUCUGCACCUUGAGCAUAUAACAAACCAUUGUGAGAAAAGUU